GGUCGCUUAGCUCAGCGGUAGAGCACGCCCAUUACAAGGGUGUGGUCACAGGUUCAAUCCCUGUAGCGACCAC
This 73-nucleotide transfer RNA is filed under the name Limnoglobus roseus. Its description in RNAcentral is "tRNA-Val". It matches the Rfam family "tRNA". Rfam says of the family: Transfer RNA (tRNA) molecules are approximately 80 nucleotides in length. Lineage: Bacteria; Pseudomonadati; Planctomycetota; Planctomycetia; Gemmatales; Gemmataceae. The record is from RNAcentral.